GACGAACGCUGGCGGCGUGCUUAACACAUGCAAGUCGAACGGAAAGGCCCUGCUUUUGUGGGGUGCUCGAUUGGCGAACGGGUGAGUAACACGUGAGUAACCUGCCCUUGACUUUGGGAUAACUUCAGGAAACUGGGGCUAAUACCGGAUAGGAGCUCCUGCUGCAUGGUGGGGGUUGGAAAGUUUCGGCGGUUGGGGAUGGACUCGCGGCUUAUCAGCUUGUUGGUGUGGUAGUGGCUUACCAAGGCUUUGACGGGUAGCCGGCCUGAGAGGGUGACCGGCCACCUUGGGACUGAGAUACGGACCAGACUCCUACGGGAGGCAGCAGUGGGGAAUAUUGCACAAUGGGCGGAAGCCUGAUGCAGCAACGCCGCGUGCGGGAUGACGGCCUUCGGGUUGUAAACAGCUUUCGCCUGUGACGAAGAGUGAGUGACGGUAAUGGGUAAAGAAGCACCGGCUAACUACGUG
RNAcentral lists this ribosomal RNA (468 nucleotides) under uncultured bacterium. Its description in RNAcentral is "partial 16S ribosomal RNA". It matches the Rfam family "Bacterial small subunit ribosomal RNA", at positions 28 to 507 of the family's 1533-position model. The record is from RNAcentral.